GAUUUUAAGCUCUAAAAUAUGCACACAUCGCCCGUCGCUCUCGUGCCAAAAUGAGAUAAGUCGUAACAUAGUAGAUGUAUUGGAAAAUGUAUCUAGAAAGUCA
This 103-nucleotide ribosomal RNA is filed under the name Hetaerina titia. Its description in RNAcentral is "partial small subunit ribosomal RNA". The record is from RNAcentral. Lineage: Eukaryota; Metazoa; Arthropoda; Insecta; Odonata; Calopterygidae.